Molecule: small nuclear RNA, 162 nt
Organism: Ursus thibetanus thibetanus
Lineage: Eukaryota; Metazoa; Chordata; Mammalia; Carnivora; Ursidae
Gene: U4
Rfam family: U4 spliceosomal RNA
About the family: U4 small nuclear RNA (U4 snRNA) is a component of the major U2-dependent spliceosome. The structure of U4 snRNA from yeast and human has been reported.
Source: Ensembl
AGCUUUGCGCAGUGGCGGUAUCGUAGCCGAUGAGGUUUAUCCGACGCGCGAUUAUUGCUAAUUGAGAAAUUCAGUGUGUGCUGCCCAGGACGGUAGCUACUAGCCACAAAUGACUGUUCAAAUUUAACUUAAAUUGAUUGAAAUGAAAUAAAAUUAAAAAUU